RNAcentral lists this ribosomal RNA (569 nucleotides) under Bryaninops natans (redeye goby). RNAcentral's name for it is "partial 16S ribosomal RNA". It matches the Rfam family "Bacterial large subunit ribosomal RNA", at positions 1816 to 2597 of the family's 2925-position model. Lineage: Eukaryota; Metazoa; Chordata; Actinopteri; Gobiiformes; Gobiidae. The record is from RNAcentral.
CACCUCUUGCAUAAUAUAAGAGGCACUGCCUGCCCUGUGAUUAAGAUUUAACGGCCGCGGUAUUUUGACCGUGCGAAGGUAGCGUAAUAACUUGUCUUUUAAAUGGAGACCUGUAUGAAUGGCAAGACGAGGGCUAGACUGUCUCCUUUCCCCAGUCAAUGAAAUUGAUCUCUCCGUGCAGAAGCGGAGAUACCCCCAUAAGACGAGAAGACCCUAUGGAGCUUUAGACGCCAGAGCAGACUACGUAAAGAACCCUUUCAGCUACGAAAGACGAACUAUGUAACCUCUGCCCCCAUGUCUUUGGUUGGGGCGACCAAGGGGACCCACACAACCCCCACGCGGAACGGAACAUGCCAACCCGAAGCCAGAGCCACAGCUCUAACUAGCAGAACCUCUGACCACAGAGAUCCGGCCACGCCGAUCAACGGACCGAGUUACCCUAGGGAUAACAGCGCAAUCCUCUUCUAGAGCCCAUAUCGACAAGAGGGUUUACGACCUCGAUGUUGGAUCAGGACCUCCUAAUGGUGCAGCCGCUAUUUAGGGUUCGUUUGUUCAACGAUUAAAGUCCU